UAGGGAAUCUUCGGCAAUGGACGAAAGUCUGACCGAGCAACGCCGCGUGAGUGAAGAAGGUUUUCGGAUCGUAAAACUCUGUUGUUAGAGAAGAACAAGGACGUUAGUAACUGAACGUCCCCUGACGGUAUCUAACCAGAAAGCCACGGCUAACUACGUGCCAGCAGCCGCGGUAAUACGUAGGUGGCAAGCGUUGUCCGGAUUUAUUGGGCGUAAAGCGAGCGCAGGCGGUGUCUUAAGUCUGAUGUGAAAGCCCCCGGCUCAACCGGGGAGGGUCAUUGGAAACUGGGGGACUUGAGUGAAGAAGAGGAGAGUGGAAUUCCAUGUGGAGCGGUGAAAUGCGUAGAUAUAUGGAGGAACACCAGGGGCGGAGGCGGCUCUCUGGUCUGUAACUGACGCUGAGGCGCGAAAGCGUGGGGAGAAAACAG
Molecule: ribosomal RNA, 428 nt
Filed under: Chloroflexota bacterium
Lineage: Bacteria; Bacillati; Chloroflexota
Description: Chloroflexi bacterium partial 16S ribosomal RNA
Rfam family: Bacterial small subunit ribosomal RNA
Source: RNAcentral